GACGAACGCUGGCGGCGUGCUUAACACAUGCAAGUCGAACGGAAAGGCCCUGCUUUUGUGGGUUGCUCGAGUGGCGAACGGGGGAGUAACACGUGAGUAACCUGCCCUUGUCUUUGGGAUAACAUCAGGAAAAUGGGGCUCAUACCGGAUAGGAGCUCUUGAUGCAUGGGGGGGGUUGGAAAGUUCCGGCGGUUGGGGAUGGACUGGCGGCUUAUCCGCUUGUUGGUGGGGUAGUGGCUUACAAGGGCUUUGAAGGGUAGCCGGCCUGGGAGGGUGACCGGCCACCAUGGGCCUGCGAGACGGCCCAGUCUCCUAUGUGACGCAGCAGGCGGGAAUAUUGCACAGCGGGCGCACGCCAGAGGCAGCAGCGUCGCGUUCGUGAUGCUGUGUUUUGGGGUGUAAACCAAUGUGUCCGGUGACGAACCGUGAGUGACGGUAACUAGUAAGGAAGCCCCGGCUAACUACGUG
This 468-nucleotide ribosomal RNA is filed under the name uncultured bacterium. RNAcentral's name for it is "partial 16S ribosomal RNA". It matches the Rfam family "Bacterial small subunit ribosomal RNA", at positions 28 to 507 of the family's 1533-position model. The record is from RNAcentral.